CCGGACACCUCAGCAGGGCCGCACCGCAAAGCGACCCCGCCCCAUCGCCCC
Molecule: non-coding RNA, 51 nt
Filed under: unclassified sequences
Description: RAGATH-5 RNA
Rfam family: RAGATH-5 RNA
Source: RNAcentral